This 466-nucleotide ribosomal RNA is filed under the name Vreelandella stevensii. Its description in RNAcentral is "partial 16S ribosomal RNA". It matches the Rfam family "Bacterial small subunit ribosomal RNA", at positions 338 to 795 of the family's 1533-position model. The record is from RNAcentral. Lineage: Bacteria; Pseudomonadati; Pseudomonadota; Gammaproteobacteria; Oceanospirillales; Halomonadaceae.
CCUACGGGGCUGCAGCAGUGGGGAAUAUUGGACAAUGGGCGAAAGCCUGAUCCAGCCAUGCCGCGUGUGUGAAGAAGGCCUUCGGGUUGUAAAGCACUUUCAGUGGGGAAGAAAGCCUUGGGGCUAAUACCCUCGAGGAAGGACAUCACCCACAGAAGAAGCACCGGCUAACUCCGUGCCAGCAGCCGCGGUAAUACGGAGGGUGCGAGCGUUAAUCGGAAUUACUGGGCGUAAAGCGCGCGUAGGCGGUCUGAUAAGCCGGUUGUGAAAGCCCCGGGCUCAACCUGGGAACGGCAUCCGGAACUGUCAGGCUAGAGUGCAGGAGAGGAAGGUAGAAUUCCCGGUGUAGCGGUGAAAUGCGUAGAGAUCGGGAGGAAUACCAGUGGCGAAGGCGGCCUUCUGGACUGACACUGACGCUGAGGUGCGAAAGCGUGGGUAGCAAACAGGAUUAGAUACCCGUGUAGUC